AGUUCGGUCCCUAUCCGAUGCAGCCGUAAGUGAAUUGAGAAAGGUUGUCCCUAGUACGAGAGGACCGGGACGAACGCAGCUCUCGUGUGACAGUUGUCCUGCCAAGGGCAUGGCUGUUUAGCGACCUGCGGGUGGGAUAAGCGCUGAAAGCAUCUAAGUGCGAAGCCCGUUUCAAGAUAAAUUCACUCACUGGGUUAACCAGGUAAGGCCCGUGGCGAGAUCACCACGUUGAUAGGCCGGAAGUGUAAGUGCGGUAACGCAUUCAGCUGACCGGUACUAAUCGGCCGAGGGCUUGGAGUU
Molecule: ribosomal RNA, 300 nt
Filed under: Acidimicrobiaceae bacterium
Lineage: Bacteria; Bacillati; Actinomycetota; Acidimicrobiia; Acidimicrobiales; Acidimicrobiaceae
Description: bacterial LSU rRNA
Rfam family: Bacterial large subunit ribosomal RNA
Source: RNAcentral